GUCCGUGUUGACCACGCCCCCGGCCACUAUAAGAGGCCCGCCGUUUAUUUGACUACCGGUUUUUAUUUGAGGAAUUACGGUAACAUGAAACUCAUAUAAAAUUACAAGUAUAACAUUUAUAUCAUGAAGCAAAAUGAUUUAUCCAGGUGAUACUUUAUUGCUUGCAGCAUUAUUGCAGCAUCAGAUCUGAAAGUGCUGGAUCUGAAGAUGAUCUACUUACUGUGAAUGGUUUUUGUAUGACUGUGUAGAGAAAAUAAACGACUGAAACACUUCCCACAUGCAGUGCAGUGAUACGGUUUCUCUCCAGUGUGGAUCCUCUCAUGUCUUUUCAGGUGUCCUGACUGAUUGAA
Carassius gibelio (silver crucian carp) is the source of this 350-nucleotide long non-coding RNA. RefSeq lists it as uncharacterized. NCBI's taxonomy places the organism in Eukaryota, Metazoa, Chordata, Actinopteri, Cypriniformes, Cyprinidae. The record is from RefSeq and is a predicted model, not a curated record. The transcript has 2 exons.